AGUGAACGCUGGCGGUAGGCCUAACACAUGCAAGUCGAACGGCAGCACAGUAAGAGCUUGCUCUUACGGGUGGCGAGUGGCGGACGGGUGAGGAAUACAUCGGAAUCUACUUUUUCGUAGGGGAUAACGUAGGGAAACUUACGCUAAUACCGCAUACGACCUACGGGUGAAAGCAGGGGAUCUUCGGACCUUGCGCGAUUGAAUGAGCCGAUGUCGGAUUAGCUAGUUGGCGGGGUAAAGGCCCACCAAGGCGACGAUCCGUAGCUGGUCUGAGAGGAUGAUCAGCCACACUGGAACUGAGACACGGUCCAGACUCCUACGGGAGGCAGCAGUGGGGAAUAUUGGACAAUGGGCGCAAGCCUGAUCCAGCCAUACCGCGUGGGUGAAGAAGGCCUUCGGGUUGUAAAGCCCUUUUGUUGGGAAAGAAAAGCAGCAGGUUAAUACCCCGCUGUUCUGACGGUACCCAAAGAAGAAGCACCGGCUAACUUCGUG
RNAcentral lists this ribosomal RNA (492 nucleotides) under uncultured bacterium. RNAcentral describes it as "partial 16S ribosomal RNA". It matches the Rfam family "Bacterial small subunit ribosomal RNA", at positions 29 to 507 of the family's 1533-position model. The record is from RNAcentral.